RNAcentral lists this ribosomal RNA (914 nucleotides) under uncultured marine archaeon. Its description in RNAcentral is "bacterial SSU rRNA". It matches the Rfam family "Archaeal small subunit ribosomal RNA", at positions 1 to 922 of the family's 1478-position model. The record is from RNAcentral.
UUCCGGUUGAUCCCGCCGGACCUGACUGCUAUCGGAUUGAUACUAAGCCAUGCGAGUCUUUGCAGUAAUGCAAGGCAUACGGCUCAGUAACACGUAGUCAACUUACCCUAUGGACGAGGAUAAUCUCGGGAAACUGAGCAUAAUACUCGAUAGAUCAUAAUGCCUGGAAUGGUUUAUGGUUAAAAUGAUUCGUCGCCAUAGGAUGGGACUGCGGCCUAUCAGCUUGUUGGUGAGGUAAUGGCCCACCAAGGCGAUUACAGGUACGGGCUCUGAGAGGAGAAGCCCGGAGAUGGGUACUGAGACAAGGACCCAGGCCCUAUGGGGCGCAGCAGGCGAGAAAACUUUGCAAUGUGCGAAAGCACGACAAGGUUAAUCCGAGUGAUUUCUGCUAAAGAAAUCUUUUGCAAGUCAUAAAACCACUAGUGAAUAAGGGGUGGGCAAGUUCUGGUGUCAGCCGCCGCGGUAAAACCAGCACCUCAAGUGGUCAGGAGGAUUAUUGGGCCUAAAGCAUCCGUAGCCGGCUCUGUAAGUUUUCGGUUAAAUCCAUGUGCUCAACGCAUGGGCUGCCGAAAAUACUGCAUAGCUAGGGAGUGGGAGAGGUAGACGGUACUCGGUAGGAAGGGGUAAAAUCCUUUGAUCUAUCGAUGACCACCUGUGGCGAAGGCGGUCUACCAGAACACGUUCGACGGUGAGGGAUGAAAGCUGGGGGAGCAAACCGGAUUAGAUACCCGGGUAGUCCCAGCUGUAAACGAUGCAGACUCGAUGAUGCAUUGGCAUAUAGCCAGUGCAGUGUCGCAGGGAAGCCGUUAAGUCUGCCGCCUGGGAAGUACGUACGCAAGUAUGAAACUUAAAGGAAUUGGCGGGGGAGCACCACAAGGGGUGAAGCCUGCGGUUCAAUUGGAGUCAACGCCGGG